This 489-nucleotide ribosomal RNA is filed under the name uncultured bacterium. Its description in RNAcentral is "partial 16S ribosomal RNA". It matches the Rfam family "Bacterial small subunit ribosomal RNA", at positions 30 to 507 of the family's 1533-position model. The record is from RNAcentral.
AUUGAACGCUGGCGGCAGGCCUAACACAUGCAAGUCGAACGGUAACAGGAAGAAGCUUGCUUCUUUGCUGCCGAGUGGCGGACGGGUGAGUAAUGUCUGGGAAACUGCCUGAUGAGGGGGAUAACUACUGGAAACGGUAGCUAAUACCGCAUAACGUCGCAAGACCAAAGAGGGGGACCUUCGGGCCUCUUGCCAUCGGAUGUGCCCAGAUGGGAUUAGCUUGUUGGUGGGGUAACGGCUCACCAAGGCGACGAUCCCUAGCUGGUCUGAGAGGAUGACCAGCCACACUGGAACUGAGACACGGUCCAGACUCCUACGGGAGGCAGCAGUGGGGAAUAUUGCACAAUGGGCGCAAGCCUGAUGCAGCCAUGCCGCGUGUAUGAAGAAGGCCUUCGGGUUGUAAAGUACUUUCAGCGGGGAGGAAGGGAGUAAAGUUAAUACCUUUGCUCAUUGACGUUACCCGCAGAAGAAGCACCGGCUAACUCCGUG